GACAGAGGGUGCUAGCGUUGUUCGGAAUUACUGGGCGUAAAGGGCGCGUAGGCGGCUUGUUUAGUCGGGUGUGAAAUCCCGGGGCUCAACCCCGGAACUGCAUUCGAUACUGGCAGGCUAGAGACCGGAAGAGGUGGGUGGAAUACCCAGUGUAGAGGUGAAAUUCGUAGAUAUUGGGUGGAACACCGGUGGCGAAGGCGACUACCUGGCCUGUUUCUUGACGCUGAGGCGCGAAAGCUAGGGGAGCAAACGGG
RNAcentral lists this ribosomal RNA (254 nucleotides) under uncultured bacterium. Its description in RNAcentral is "partial 16S ribosomal RNA". It matches the Rfam family "Bacterial small subunit ribosomal RNA", at positions 524 to 776 of the family's 1533-position model. The record is from RNAcentral.